RNAcentral lists this ribosomal RNA (468 nucleotides) under uncultured bacterium. Its description in RNAcentral is "partial 16S ribosomal RNA". It matches the Rfam family "Bacterial small subunit ribosomal RNA", at positions 28 to 507 of the family's 1533-position model. The record is from RNAcentral.
GACGAACGCUGGCGGCGUGCUUAACACAUGCAAGUCGAACGGAAAGGCCCUGCUUUUGUGGGGUGCUCGAGUGGCGAACGGGUGAGCAACACGUGAGUAACCUGCCCUUGACUUUGGGAUAACUUCAGGAAACUGGGGCUAAUACCGGAUAGGAGCUCCUGCUGCAUGGUGGGGGUUGGAAAGUUUCGGCGGUUGGGGAUGGACUCGCGGCUUAUCAACUUGUUGGUGGGGUAGUGGCUUACCAAGGCUUUGACGGGUAGCCGGCCUGAGAGGGUGACCGGCCACAUUGGGACUGAGAUACGGCCCAGACUCCUACGGGAGGCAGCAGUGGGGAAUAUUGCACAAUGGGCGGAAGCCUGAUGCAGCAACGCCGCGUGCGGGAUGACGGCCUUCGGGUCGUAAACCGCUUUCGCCUGUGACGAAGCGUGAGUGACGGUAAUGGGUAAAGAAGCACCGGCUAACUACGUG